CUCUGAAAAUUCAAAGAUGGCUCAUCUUUGUUUAGGUUUCCCACCUGCUACCCGAGUUUUUCUUCUCCUCUCUCGCUCUUUGUCUCUUCGAAACUCAGACCACCACCUCUGUAACACAUAUGUUUCCGUAUUAAACCUUUCAUUCAAUCUCAGUUAAGUCGACCUCCACUACGUCUCUUUACUUCACCGAAUUCGCCCUCUUCAUCUUCUUCGCGAUUUUGAACCUAUAUAUAGGCAUCUUCGGCUUGAUGGUUUCCACAGAUUCAUAGCUUCUCUCUACUCAAAAAUCAGAAACACUCAUGCACGAACGAUGGCCACUUCCCAGAUCUCUCUUUCCAAGUUGAAGGCAGUAUCGGAGGAGGAUCUUUACUUGAGAUCAGAGAGAAGGAAGAAUCUUCAUCAAUGGCGUCAAAAGUCUAUGAUCCUAGAGGAGUUGUAGGCGAAGUCAAACCGAAGAAUGUUGUAAUACAAAACCAAAAGGCUCUUGGAGACAUUGGUAAUCUCGUCAACAUUCCAACCGGAAAGGAUAUUGCGAGGAAGGCAGAGGUUGUUGUUAUCACCAUCCUUGAAGAAGAUGAGAAAUCUUGCAGACCACAUGUUACCAAAAGGUGAGGUUUCACAUCUACCUUAAGAGCUCGAAGCAAGGCUGCAAGUGGUGGACUCAAAGAUGCUGUGAUUGACGAUUCCCUUCACUUCAGCCUCAGUCCGUUCCUCCGUCCUAGCAAUUUGGAGUAGUUAUAGCAAGACUUCAGCUUUUAUCAGUUCAACGGUUACAUCCAAAAAAAUAUGGUUACAUCCAAAUAGAUCUUCCUCUUGGUAUCGUUUCAUACACAAGCUGGAAGCCUGGAACCCUUACCAGGUGAUGCUGUGUGUUGUUUUUGUUUUUCAUUUUUUAUUUAUCUUUUAUAUUAUCAAGUCAUAUUUUUUCAAUCUAUUUAAGGUGCAAACCCUUUGCAUCGAACUGAACCGUCUACGGGAUCAAGCUCGGCUUAUGGAACUAGACCGUUAUCUCCUUCAGUGGUGCUUAUCAGAUCGGUCCAUGUUCAAAUAAGGAACAAUGUAUGUCUCCACAGUUACCUUGACAAGCUGAGUGUUCACUGAAAGCAGCAUCGCCAAAGGGAAUUACUUUCAGCCAUAUUAGACUUACACUCCAUCAUGGCACUGCGCAAGCCGCAAUGCAGCCACUAUGCUCAACACGAGAGAUUGACAACGAUUUUUUUUCAUUCUUUUUACAUGUAAAGAAAAGAAAAACUAAAAAGUUUGUAUAUUUAUUCUUCCUACAGCUAGAUCAUCUUAUUUUCUAAAUCAAAUAAAUGAUUAGUAGUCUUACUCAUAAUAAA
Long non-coding RNA from Brassica oleracea var. oleracea, 1340 nucleotides. RefSeq lists it as uncharacterized. NCBI's taxonomy places the organism in Eukaryota, Viridiplantae, Streptophyta, Magnoliopsida, Brassicales, Brassicaceae. The record is from RefSeq and is a predicted model, not a curated record. The transcript is spliced from 5 exons.